CAAUUCUGACAUCGCCGAUGACAACGCUGGAUGCGUCAAUCAUGACGCGAAGACCGAUUUGUGGGAAAAAUGCUUUGUAGGGGCGCAGCUGAGCAGACAUAUAGACCUCAAAAUACGGGAACGUAAGAAGACUUUGGUGGCUUUUAUCUCCCUGUGCAACCCCUGAAAACGGUGAAAAUUGAGCAAAUCGUGCAAUUACACGGCGAAAAGGGUGAAAAAUCACCAUUCAGAAAAAAAGAUCGAAAAAAGGCUUGUGCAAAAAAAUGGGAUCCCUAUAAUGCGCACCCACUGACACGGCAGAUGUGAAUCACUUCACACAAACAGCCGGUUCGGUUGCAGAGAAAAAUCCUGAAAAACGGGUUGACUCUGAAAGAGGAAAGCGUAAUAUACGCCACCUCGCGACAGAGCGCUAAAGCGCGUCGCAACUGCUCUUUAACAAUUUAUCAGACAAUCUGUGUGGGCACUCAAAGUGACAUGGAUUCUUAACGUCCUCGGACGAAAAAUGAAUACCAAGUCUCAAGAGUGAACACGUAAUUCAUUACGAAGUUUAAUUCUUUGAGCAUCAAACUUAAAUUGAAGAGUUUGAUCAUGGCUCAGAUUGAACGCUGGCGGCAGGCCUAACACAUGCAAGUCGAGCGGUAGCACAGAGAGCUUGCUCUCGGGUGACGAGCGGCGGACGGGUGAGUAAUGUCUGGGAAACUGCCUGAUGGAGGGGGAUAACUACUGGAAACGGUAGCUAAUACCGCAUAANUCGAUUGACGUUACCCGCAGAAGAAGCACCGGCUAACUCCGUGCCAGCAGCCGCGGUAAUACGGAGGGUGCAAGCGUUAAUCGGAAUUACUGGGCGUAAAGCGCACGCAGGCGGUCUGUCAAGUCGGAUGUGAAAUCCCCGGGCUCAACCUGGGAACUGCAUUCGAAACUGGCAGGCUAGAGUCUUGUAGAGGGGGGUAGAAUUCCAGGUGUAGCGGUGAAAUGCGUAGAGAUCUGGAGGAAUACCGGUGGCGAAGGCGGCCCCCUGGACAAAGACUGACGCUCAGGUGCGAAAGCGUGGGGAGCAAACAGGAUUAGAUACCCUGGUAGUCCACGCCGUAAACGAUGUCGAUUUGGAGGUUGUGCCCUUGAGGCGUGGCUUCCGGAGCUAACGCGUUAAAUCGACCGCCUGGGGAGUACGGCCGCAAGGUUAAAACUCAAAUGAAUUGACGGGGGCCCGCACAAGCGGUGGAGCAUGUGGUUUAAUUCGAUGCAACGCGAAGAACCUUACCUGGUCUUGACAUCCACAGAACUUUCCAGAGAUGGAUUGGUGCCUUCGGGAACUGUGAGACAGGUGCUGCAUGGCUGUCGUCAGCUCGUGUUGUGAAAUGUUGGGUUAAGUCCCGCAACGAGCGCAACCCUUAUCCUUUGUUGCCAGCGGUNCGGCCGGGAACUCAAAGGAGACUGCCAGUGAUAAACUGGAGGAAGGUGGGGAUGACGUCAAGUCAUCAUGGCCCUUACGACCAGGGCUACACACGUGCUACAAUGGCAUAUACAAAGAGAAGCGACCUCGCGAGAGCAAGCGGACCUCAUAAAGUAUGUCGUAGUCCGGAUUGGAGUCUGCAACUCGACUCCAUGAAGUCGGAAUCGCUAGUAAUCGUAGAUCAGAAUGCUACGGUGAAUACGUUCCCGGGCCUUGUACACACCGCCCGUCACACCAUGGGAGUGGGUUGCAAAAGAAGUAGGUAGCUUAACCUUCGGGAGGGCGCUUACCACUUUGUGAUUCAUGACUGGGGUGAAGUCGUAACAAGGUAACCGUAGGGGAACCUGCGGUUGGAUCACCU
RNAcentral lists this ribosomal RNA (1814 nucleotides) under Klebsiella pneumoniae. RNAcentral's name for it is "16S ribosomal RNA". The stretch from base 571 to 1814 matches the Rfam family "Bacterial small subunit ribosomal RNA". Lineage: Bacteria; Pseudomonadati; Pseudomonadota; Gammaproteobacteria; Enterobacterales; Enterobacteriaceae. The record is from RNAcentral.